GCGGGCGAGGUGACCUCGGGCGGAUUUGCAAGCCCCACAAGUUUCUCCUUUCUCUGCAAAACUGUCGUGAUUACAAUGUUGCUCCCCUUUUGCAAAAUAAAAGUAGGUUAGUUGGAUUGUUUGUCCUUAGAUUUCUAGGGGUUCAUGAAGGAGGAUGUGUAUUUCUCCCUCCCCCCCGCACUGCACACCCCGCGCCCUGUUACUUUUUUUUUCCGCUUCUCUUUCUGGGGAUGGAAAAACAACUUUGGGGCCCCCUGGGGGGUGCCGGCGUGGAGGUGGAGGUGUCCGCUAGGGCCCAGCUGUCAAAAAGCAGUGGGGCGUGGGGGGCAGAGACGACUGGGCAGGGAAACGCCGAGGAAAGGGCGCGAACUUUAUUCCGACUGCUGCGAACCUCGGCGUCGCUUUUCUUUUCGGGCAGUCGCCGGUCUCGGUCCCUUUUGACCAGUUCCUACUCGCGAGCCGCCGCCGCCGCCGCCGCCGCCGCCCCCUCCUCCUUUCCCCUUCCCCUCCUCCUUCGUGCCCGUCGCGCUGCCCCGCACCCGGAUCAGCCCGGGUCCCUGCUCGCUGUCGGGGAGAAGGGAAGGCAGGCACAGGUUUCGAGCAUAUUCCCUGAACACUUGAAAAUCAGAAUCGGCGGAGGCGAACACUUGGCUUGGCAGGACAGCAGGUCUGGUUACCGGUUUCCACUGAGAAGAGAAAAUCAUCCCUCCUUGCUUUCUCUCUUCCCCGAAGUAGAGGAAGAGACUGCCCAAUUGCACUCAGAGGUCAGAAUCAAAUUCCUCUGGAAAAUAUGCAGCUUUGGAAUUACGUAGUUUUAUUUUCUUUGAUGCACGGUCUGGGCUUAAGUUUAAUAUGAAUUUUCACAAUAAUUAAAAAUUUUUCAGGAGCCGUGACUAACGAGAGACUAUGCGGCCCAAGUAGCCACAGCUGUUCUGAAAAUGUGAUUAGGCUUAUUAUUUACGUAGAUCCAGCUUUUUAACGGGGGCCACCGCACCUGCAAUUCUUUGUACUGAUUGGUUCCAAAAUCUGACUGUUUUAGGCCCUUUCGGAGCAGAUUUGAAGACACUUCUGCUUUUGUGAAUUCUCUACAUCACCUUGUCAUGGAAGGGUUUGUCUGGUGAACACUUCUACAAUGUUACACAGUAAAUAUCUUGGCACAUGGUUCAUCUGGAGGUUUCUGGUGGGAGUCAGGUUACUUCUCUCACUAUAGGAUAAAUCAAAGGAUAGACUAGAUAACUAAUCACUAGCCAUAUAUAUAAAUGCAUGUUAUCUAAGAAGGCUCAUCUUUAAAUGAUUUGAUUAAGGUGUGGAGCAAGUUCUCUUAUUCUGUAAACAUAACUGUAACAUCAUCCUGUAGUUUGUAGAAACUGAUUACACAAGGGAUAAUGAUGACCAAAUGUGCAUUCUGAGCAACUGAGGAUCAUCACAUGAAUUCUCCAGAAAGGAGCCAAGUUUCAAUGUGUUUUCCUGUAUCAUGGAGAGAUGAGAAAAACUAGUUGCUAAUUUCAGAGUCAUUACCCAUACAAAUCCAUUCACACACUUACCGCUUUGGACAAGUGACAGACCAGCAAUUGCCAAACAAUUGUAUUCACACUGCAUUUUUGGCUGUGCACCUACACUGGCCAACAGGCAGAAGUUACUCCACAUCAAGCAACCUGUAAUUUACAUUCCCCUGAUUGGUUCCAGAUCUGUCUGUUUUUGAUGUUAGCAUACAAACAUUUUAUACGAGGCAAGAUGUGUCUAUUUGGGGUCCGAUGCCUUUCUGGAACGUCAUCAGGAUAAGGAUGGGGAAUGUGUUGGGCUGAAGAGCAG
RNAcentral lists this long non-coding RNA (1812 nucleotides) under Sus scrofa (pig). RNAcentral's name for it is "lncRNA (ENSSSCG00050068625.1)". The record is from RNAcentral. Lineage: Eukaryota; Metazoa; Chordata; Mammalia; Artiodactyla; Suidae.